Molecule: transfer RNA, 76 nt
Filed under: Serratia marcescens
Lineage: Bacteria; Pseudomonadati; Pseudomonadota; Gammaproteobacteria; Enterobacterales; Yersiniaceae
Description: tRNA-Pro
Rfam family: tRNA
About the family: Transfer RNA (tRNA) molecules are approximately 80 nucleotides in length. Their secondary structure includes four short double-helical elements and three loops (D, anti-codon, and T loops). Further hydrogen bonds mediate the characteristic L-shaped molecular structure. tRNAs have two regions of fundamental functional importance: the anti-codon, which is responsible for specific mRNA codon recognition, and the 3' end, to which the tRNAs corresponding amino acid is attached (by aminoacyl-tRNA synthetases). tRNAs cope with the degeneracy of the genetic code in two manners: having more than one tRNA (with a specific anti-codon) for a particular amino acid; and 'wobble' base-pairing, i.e. permitting non-standard base-pairing at the 3rd anti-codon position.
Source: RNAcentral
CGGCAUGUAGCGCAGCCUGGUAGCGCACCGUCAUGGGGUGUCGGGGUCGGAGGUUCGAAUCCUCUCAUGCCGACCA